This 199-nucleotide ribosomal RNA is filed under the name uncultured bacterium. RNAcentral describes it as "partial 16S ribosomal RNA". It matches the Rfam family "Bacterial small subunit ribosomal RNA", at positions 335 to 526 of the family's 1533-position model. The record is from RNAcentral.
ACUCCUACGGGAGGCAGCAGUGGGGAAUUUUGGACAAUGGGCGCAAGCCUGAUCCAGCAAUGCCGCGUGCAGGAAGAAGGCCUUCGGGUUGUAAACUGCUUUUGUACGGAAAGAAACGGUCCUGGUUAAUACCCGGGGAUAAUGACGGUACCGUAAGAAUAAGCACCGGCUAACUACGUGCCAGCAGCCGCGGUAAUAC